GAAGAAACACUUGAACCUGGGAGGCAGAGGUUGCAGUGAGCCGAGAUUGUGCCACUGCACUCCAGCCUGCGUGACAGAGCAAGAUCCUGUCUCAAAAAAGAAUAAUAAACAAAAUAAAAAGAAAACUACAAGAUCUGAAGAAAAAAAUUUAAAGACCUAAAUAAAUGGAGAGACAUACCACAUUCUUACAUGCAGACAUACUAUCAUACAGGUAUCGGUUCUCGGUAAUUGAUCUAUGGAUUCAUUGCAAUUCCAAUCAAAAUCCCAGCAGGACUUUCUGUAGAUUUAGACAAACUGAUUCUAAAUGCACCACACGUGGAAAAAUGAAAGAAGACUCACAUAACCCAACGUUACACUGACUGUGGAGUGACAGCGUGAGGCCAGCUUGGUGUUGGAGAAGGGGCAGACACACACCGAGGGAAGACGAUGGAGAUCCCAGAAACGGACGCACACAAAUAUGGCUCAUGGAUUAUUGACCAAGGUACACAAGCAAUUCAGUAGAGAAAGGAAGAUCUGGCCGGGCGCGGUGGCUCACACCUGUAAUCCCAGCACUUUGGGAGGCUGAGGCGGGUGGUUCACCUGA
RNAcentral lists this long non-coding RNA (583 nucleotides) under Homo sapiens (human). RNAcentral's name for it is "non-protein coding lnc-LRRC56-1:2". Lineage: Eukaryota; Metazoa; Chordata; Mammalia; Primates; Hominidae. The record is from RNAcentral.